UGAGGCCAAAGGAAUUGUCCGUAGAGCUCAGAGACAGUAUUGUGUCGAGGCACAGAUCUGGGGAAGGGUACCAAAACAUUUCUGCAUUGAAGGUCUAAGAACACACUGGCCUCCAUCAUUCUGCAGCAUUGAAGGUCCCCAGAACACACUGGCCUCCAUCAUUCUGCAGCAUUGAAGGUCCCCAGAACACACUGGCCUCCAUCAUUCUGCAGCAUUGAAGGUCCCCAAGAACACAGUGGCCUCCAUCAUUCUGCAGCAUUGAAGGUCCCCAGAACACAGUGGCCUCCAUCAUUCUGCAGCAUUGAAGGCAUCCCUCAGAACACAGUGGCCUCCAUCAUUCUGCAGCAUUGAAGGUCCCCAAGAACACAGUGGCCUCCAUCAUUCUGCAGCAUUGAAGGUCUAAGAACACAGUGGCCUCCAUCAUUCUGCAGCAUUGAAGGUCCCCAAGAACACAGUGGCCUCCAUCAUUCUGCAGCAUUGAAGGUCUAAGAACACAGUGGCCUCCAUCAUUCUGCAGCAUUGAAGGUCUAAGAACACAGUGGCCUCCAUCAUUCUGCAGCAUUGAAGGUCCCCAGAACACAGUGGCCUCCAUCAUUCUGCAGCAUUGAAGGUCCCCAGAACACAGUGGCCUCCAUCAUUCUGCAGCAUUGAAGGUCCCCAGAACACAGUGGCCUCCAUCAUUCUGCAGCAUUGAAGGUCCCCAGAACACAGUGGCCUCCAUCAUUCUGCAGCAUUGAAGGUCCCCAGAACACAGUGGCCUCCAUCAUUCUGCAGCAUUGAAGGUCCCCAGAACACACUGGCCUCCAUCAUUCUGCAGCAUUGAAGGUCCCCAGAACACACUGGCCUCCAUCAUUCUGCAGCAUUGAAGGUCCCCAGAACACAGUGGCCUCCAUCAUUCUGCAGCAUUGAAGGUCCCCAAGAACACAGUGGCCUCCAUCAUUCUGCAGCAUUGAAGGUCCCCAGAACACACUGGCCUCCAUCAUUCUGCAGCAUUGAAGGUCCCCAGAACACACUGGCCUCCAUCAUUCUGCAGCAUUGAAGGUCCCCAGAACACACUGGCCUCCAUCAUUCUGCAGCAUUGAAGGUCCCCAGAACACACUGGCCUCCAUCAUUCUUAAAUGGAGAAGUUUGGAACCACCAAGGUUCUUCCUAGAGCUGGCCGCCCGGCCAAACGGAGCAAUCAGGGGAGAAAGGCCUUCGUAAGGAAGGUGACUAAGAACCCGAUGGUCAAUCACAGAGCUAGAGAGUUCCUCUGUGGAGAUGGGAGAACCUUCCAGAAGGACAACCAUCUCUGCAGCACUCCACCAAUCAGGCCUUUAUGGUAGAGUGGCCAGACGGAAGCCACUCUUCAGUAAAAGGCAAAUGACAGCCCUCUUGGAGUUUGCCAAAAGGCACGCAAAGAGUCUCAGACCAUGAGAAACAAGAUUCCCUGGUUUGAUGAAACCAAAAUGUAACUCUUUGGCCUGAAAGCCAAGCGUCAUGUCUGGAAGAAACCUGGCACCAUCCCUACGAUGCAGCAUGGUGGUGGCAGCAUCAUGAUGUGUGGAUGUUCUACAGUGGCAGGGACUGGGAGAAUAGUUGGAUUGAGGGAAAGAUGAAUGGAGCAAAGUACGAAGAGAUCCUUGAUGAAAACCUUCACCCCAGUCUGAGGUCCUGAGCGCUCUGGAGAAGGUUCACCGUCCAACAGGAUAAUGACCCUAAGCACACA
Long non-coding RNA from Oncorhynchus keta (chum salmon), 1708 nucleotides. RefSeq lists it as uncharacterized. Lineage: Eukaryota; Metazoa; Chordata; Actinopteri; Salmoniformes; Salmonidae. The record is from RefSeq and is a predicted model, not a curated record. The transcript has 5 exons.